CGCGUGGAUGAAGAAGGCCUUCGGGUUGUAAAGUCCUUUCGUGGGGGACGAAAAGGCGGGUCCUAAUACGANCUGCUGUUGACGUGAACCCAAGAAGAAGCACCGGCUAACUCCGUGCCAGCAGCCGCGGUAAUACGGGGGGUGCAAGCGUUAAUCGGAAUCACUGGGCGUAAAGGGUGCGUAGGCGGUACGUUAGGUCUGUCGUGAAAUCCCCGGGCUCAACCUGGGAAUGGCGGUAGAAACCGGGGCACUAGAGUAUGGGAGAGGGUGGUGGAAUCCCACGUGUAGCGGUGAAAUGCGUAGAGAUCUGGAGNAACAUCA
This 321-nucleotide ribosomal RNA is filed under the name Acidithiobacillus ferrooxidans. Its description in RNAcentral is "bacterial SSU rRNA". It matches the Rfam family "Bacterial small subunit ribosomal RNA", at positions 398 to 711 of the family's 1533-position model. The record is from RNAcentral. Lineage: Bacteria; Pseudomonadati; Pseudomonadota; Acidithiobacillia; Acidithiobacillales; Acidithiobacillaceae.